Heterocephalus glaber (naked mole-rat) is the source of this 496-nucleotide non-coding RNA. The record is from RefSeq and is a predicted model, not a curated record. Lineage: Eukaryota; Metazoa; Chordata; Mammalia; Rodentia; Bathyergidae.
UGUGGUCACCGAAGUCUGCCCUCCACCCAUAGACUGGAGGAGCUGUCAUUUCUUCCUCCAUGCUCCUGGAGGGGCUGACAGGAACGUGACUCGGGGCUGUGCCAGCUGGGGCUCCCACCAGUGUGGGGCCCAGGCUGGCCUUGAACUCCCGCAAUCCUCCUGCCUCAGCCUCCUGAGUGCUGGGAUGAUAGGCGUGCGGCACCGUGCCCAGCUGGGAUUUCUGUUCUUUGGGGGAAAGGAGGAGAAGGAAGAUCUUACAUGUCUCCUGCAGGGUGCACCUUCUUCCCCUGCAUGGGCAGUGGGCUCUGUGAAGAAGUCAGAAGCCAAGGAAUGGUGGCCAUACAUGGAAGAAGCCGCCCCGUCAGAGAGAGCAAUCCGAUCCCUGCUGCAGAGUGGCAGAGACAGACACCUCAGUGCAGCUCAGACCGCUGCUCAGUGGAUGAUGUUUCCUCUUUUCAUUUAAUCUUUAUUAAUAAACACUACGUAAUCCACUGCA